GCUCACCAGAUGUCUGCACUAAGUUCGGCAUCAAUAGUGUGACCUCCUAGGAUUGGGGGGCCACCAGGUUGCCUAAAGAUGGGUGAACUGGUCCAGGUCAGAAAGGGAGCAGGUCAGAACUGCCACACCGACAGUAGUGGGACUGUGCCUGGGC
Unclassified non-coding RNA from Macaca fascicularis (crab-eating macaque), 154 nucleotides. It matches the Rfam family "Metazoan signal recognition particle RNA". From Rfam's summary of the family: The signal recognition particle (SRP) is a universally conserved ribonucleoprotein. It is involved in the co-translational targeting of proteins to membranes. The record is from Ensembl. Lineage: Eukaryota; Metazoa; Chordata; Mammalia; Primates; Cercopithecidae.